Molecule: ribosomal RNA, 710 nt
Filed under: uncultured bacterium
Lineage: Bacteria
Description: bacterial SSU rRNA
Rfam family: Bacterial small subunit ribosomal RNA
Source: RNAcentral
CAGAGUUUGAUCCUGGCUCAGAUUGAACGCUGGCGGCGUGCUUAACACAUGCAAGUCGAACGUGAAAGUCCUUCGGGGCGAGUAAAGUGGCGCACGGGUGAGUAACGCGUGGAUAAUCUACCCUUAAGAUGGGGAUAACGGCUGGAAACGGUCGCUAAUUCCGAAUACGCUCCCGAUUUUAUCAUUGGGGGGAAAGAUGGCCUCUGCUUGCAAGCUAUCGCUUAAGGAUGAGUCCGCGUCCCAUUAGCUAGUUGGCGGGGUAACGGCCCACCAAGGCAACGAUGGGUAGCCGGUCUGAGAGGAUGACCGGCCACACUGGAACUGGAACACGGUCCAGACUCCUACGGGAGGCAGCAGUGGGGAAUAUUGCGCAAUGGGCGAAAGCCUGACGCAGCGACGCCGCGUGAGGGAUGAAGGUUCUCGGAUCGUAAACCUCUGUCAGGGGGGAAGAAACCCCCUCGUGUGAAUAAUGCGAGGGCUUGACGGUACCCCCAAAGGAAGCACCGGCUAACUCCGUGCCAGCAGCCGCGGUAAUACGGAGGGUGCAAGCGUUAAUCGGAAUCACUGGGCGUAAAGCGCACGUAGGCGGCUUGGUAAGUCAGGGGUGAAAUCCCACAGCCCAACUGUGGAACUGCCUUUGAUACUGCCAGGCUUGAGUACCCGGAGAGGGUGGCGGAAUUCCCGGUGUACGAGUGAAAUCCGUAGAUAUC